CAGCCGCCGCGGUAAUACGUAGGUGGCAAGCGUUGUCCGGAAUUAUUGGGCGUAAAGGGCUCGCAGGCGGUUUCUUAAGUCUGAUGUGAAAGCCCCCGGCUCAACCGGGGAGGGUCAUUGGAAACUGGGAGACUUGAGUGCAGAAGAGGAGAGUGGAAUUCCACGUGUAGCGGUGAAAUGCGUAGAGAUGUGGAGGAACACCAGUGGCGAAGGCGACUCUCUGGUCUGUAACUGACGCUGAGGAGCGAAAGCGUGGGGAGCGAACAGGAUUAGAUACCCCGGUAGUCCCUGUCUCUUAUAC
This 301-nucleotide ribosomal RNA is filed under the name uncultured bacterium. Its description in RNAcentral is "partial 16S ribosomal RNA". It matches the Rfam family "Bacterial small subunit ribosomal RNA", at positions 509 to 807 of the family's 1533-position model. The record is from RNAcentral.